GGGACUGUGGCUUAGUGGUAGAGUAUUUGCCUAGUAUGCAUGAAGCUCUGGGUUCAAUUCCUCAAUACCA
Molecule: transfer RNA, 70 nt
Filed under: Dipodomys ordii (Ord's kangaroo rat)
Lineage: Eukaryota; Metazoa; Chordata; Mammalia; Rodentia; Heteromyidae
Rfam family: tRNA
About the family: Transfer RNA (tRNA) molecules are approximately 80 nucleotides in length. Their secondary structure includes four short double-helical elements and three loops (D, anti-codon, and T loops).
Source: Rfam by way of RNAcentral